Molecule: unclassified non-coding RNA, 337 nt
Filed under: soil metagenome
Description: partial contains 5.8S ribosomal RNA, internal transcribed spacer 2, and large subunit ribosomal RNA
Rfam family: 5.8S ribosomal RNA (bases 1-120)
Source: RNAcentral
GAUGAAGAACGUAGCGAAAUGCGAUAAGUAAUGUGAAUUGCAGAAUUCCGUGAAUCAUCGAAUCUUUGAACGCACAUUGCGCCCCCUGGCAUUCCGGGGGGCAUGCCUGUCCGAGCGUCAUUUCUGCCCCCAAGCACGGCUUGUGUGUUGGGUGUGGUCCCCCCGGGGACCUGCCCGAAAGGCAGCGGCGACGUCCGUCUGGUCCUCGAGCGUAUGGGGCUCUGUCACUCGCUCGGGAAGGACCUGCGGGGGUUGGUCACCACUAUAUUUUACCACGGUUGACCUCGGAUCAGGUAGGAGUUACCCGCUGAACUUAAGCAUAUCAAUAAGCGGAGGA